CAUGUCUUUUUGUUUAAUAAUUUAAAGUCUGCUCUGCCCAAUGAAUUAUUUUUAAUGGCUGCAGUAUACUGACUGUACAAAGGUAGCAUAAUAAUUAGUCUUUUUAUUGAAGGCUUGUAUGAAUGAGUUGAUGAAAUAUUUACUGUCUCUAAUUUAAAUUAUUAAUUUAGAUUUUAAGUAAAAAUGCUUAAAUUUUUAUAUGGGACGAGAAGACCCUAUAGAAUUUUAUAGUUUAUACUAAUAGUAAUUUUAUUAGUAUAAACUAUUUUGUUGGGAGGAUAUUUAAAUUUAUUUAACUUUAAAAAUUUUAUCCAAUUAUUUUUGUUUAAAAAGAUAGUUUAUUAAAAAUUGUUAGAUUAAAUUACCUUAGGGAUAACAGCGUAAUAUCUUUGGAGAGUUCAUAUUUAUAAAGAUGAUUGCGACCUCGAUGUUGAAUUAAAGUAUAAUUUAAAUGCAGGAGUUUAAAUUUUAAGUCUGUUCGACUUUUAA
Molecule: ribosomal RNA, 489 nt
Filed under: Andrena flavipes
Lineage: Eukaryota; Metazoa; Arthropoda; Insecta; Hymenoptera; Andrenidae
Description: partial 16S ribosomal RNA
Rfam family: Bacterial large subunit ribosomal RNA (bases 372-489)
Source: RNAcentral